RNAcentral lists this ribosomal RNA (497 nucleotides) under uncultured bacterium. Its description in RNAcentral is "partial 16S ribosomal RNA". It matches the Rfam family "Bacterial small subunit ribosomal RNA", at positions 28 to 507 of the family's 1533-position model. The record is from RNAcentral.
GAUGAACGCUGGCGGCGUGCCUAAUACAUGCAAGUCGAGCGAACAGAUGAGGAGCUUGCUCCUCUGACGUUAGCGGCGGACGGGUGAGUAACACGUGGAUAACCUACCUAUAAGACUGGGAUAACUUCGGGAAACCGGAGCUAAUACCGGAUAAUAUAUUGAACCGCAUGGUUCAAUAGUGAAAGGCGGUUUUGCUGUCACUUAUAGAUGGAUCCGCGCCGCAUUAGCUAGUUGGUAAGGUAACGGCUUACCAAGGCAACGAUGCGUAGCCGACCUGGGAGGGUGAUCGGCCACCCUGGAACUGAGACACGGUCCAGACUCCUACGGGAGGCAGCAGUAGGGAAUCUUCCGCAAUGGGCGAAAGCCUGACGGAGCAACGCCGCGUGAGUGAUGAAGGGCUUCGGAUCGUAAAACUCUGUUAUUAGGGAAGAACAAAUGUGUAAGUAACUAUGCCCGUCUUGACGGUACCUAAUCAGAAAGCCACGGCUAACUACGUG